Molecule: ribosomal RNA, 253 nt
Filed under: uncultured bacterium
Lineage: Bacteria
Description: partial 16S ribosomal RNA
Rfam family: Bacterial small subunit ribosomal RNA
Source: RNAcentral
UACGAAGGGGACUAGCGUUGUUCGGAAUCACUGGGCGUAAAGCGCACGUAGGCGGAUGUGUCAGUCAGGGGUGAAAUCCCGGGGCUCAACCCCGGAACUGCCUUUGAUACAGCACGUCUCGAGUCCGGAAGAGGUGGGUGGAAUUCCUAGUGUAGAGGUGAAAUUCGUAGAUAUUAGGAAGAACACCGGUGGCGAAGGCGGCCCACUGGUCCGGUACUGACGCUGAGGUGCGAAAGCGUGGGGAGCAAACAGG